This 261-nucleotide unclassified non-coding RNA is filed under the name uncultured Pyronemataceae. RNAcentral describes it as "sequence contains ITS2". The stretch from base 1 to 52 matches the Rfam family "5.8S ribosomal RNA", at positions 103 to 154 of the family's 154-position model. Lineage: Eukaryota; Fungi; Ascomycota; Pezizomycetes; Pezizales; Pyronemataceae. The record is from RNAcentral.
AACGCACAUUGCGCCUCCUGGUAUUCCGGGAGGCAUGCCUGUUCGAGCGUCAUUAAAAACCACUCAAGCUCUUUUGCUUGGUAUUGGGAGAUGAGUAUACUUUUCCUAGUUUACUCACUCUCGAAAUUCAAAGGCGUAGAGCCCCACAUACCACAGCGUAGUAAGUUUUCUUUCGCUUGGAGUGUGAGGUGAUAUUGCCACAAACCCCCAAUUAUUUUCUAGGUUGACCUCGGAUCAGGUAGGGAUACCCGCUGAACUUAA